RNAcentral lists this ribosomal RNA (392 nucleotides) under uncultured Lachnospiraceae bacterium. RNAcentral describes it as "bacterial SSU rRNA". It matches the Rfam family "Bacterial small subunit ribosomal RNA", at positions 993 to 1382 of the family's 1533-position model. Lineage: Bacteria; Bacillati; Bacillota; Clostridia; Lachnospirales; Lachnospiraceae. The record is from RNAcentral.
GACAGCUGUUGAAAGGCAGUGUCUCUUCGGAGCGAGGGAGACGAGGUGGUGCAUGGUUGUCGUCAGCUCGUGUCGUGAGAUGGUUGGGUUAACGUCCCGCAACGAGCGCAACCCUUAUCCUUAGUUACCAGCACGUAAAGGUGGGGACUCUAGGGAGACCGCCGGGGACGACUCGGAGGAAGGUGGGGACGACGUCAAAUCAUCAUGCCCCUUAUGUCUUGGGCUACACACGUGCUACAAUGGCCGCAACAGAGGGAAGCGAGAGCGCAAGCUGGAGCAAAACCCUAAAAAGCGGUCCCAGUUCGGAUUGUGGGCUGCAACCCGCCCACAUGAAGUCGGAGUUGCUAGUAAUCGCGAAUCAGCAUGUCGCGGUGAAUGCGUUCCCGGGCCUU